GUCACAUGCCGCAUUUUAUCCACCGGUACAUCAAAAUCAAACGGAGCUGAACGUGAUGCCUGUACUUUAUUUUAGAGUGCCCCUUUCCCGCACUGAAUCCUCUGCUGGUUAAAACAUAAAAAGAAAACAAUACUUUGUGGAUACUUAAUGAU
Molecule: long non-coding RNA, 152 nt
Organism: Branchiostoma floridae (Florida lancelet)
Lineage: Eukaryota; Metazoa; Chordata; Leptocardii; Amphioxiformes; Branchiostomatidae
Exons: 3
Source: RefSeq, a predicted model, not a curated record